Molecule: long non-coding RNA, 586 nt
Organism: Daktulosphaira vitifoliae (grape phylloxera)
Lineage: Eukaryota; Metazoa; Arthropoda; Insecta; Hemiptera; Phylloxeridae
Exons: 3
Source: RefSeq, a predicted model, not a curated record
AAUAAGUUACUAUACACUGAACAAUUUUCAAUUGUCAAUAUUAUUUGUGCCAGUCAAAAAUAAUACGUACGUCUAUUGAUUAAUUACUGUGAUAUUAUUACAUUCGAUGGAAAUAAAUUUGACUUAAGAAUAUAACAGUAAUCAUGUAGCGACAACUCGAGGAAUCUCACUUAAGUUGUACUUUUUUCUAUUUCAAUAAUUCAAUUUGAGGUGUUGAUACUACUCGAUAUCCGUUGUGCCAUAUGCAAUUAGCGCCGGAUUAAGGGGAAAGAGACAAAAGGACAGCUGCCCUGGUAGUCAAAUUAUUUGAAGAAAAAAACAUUUUUCAUCAACACGAAGCUAUUUAUUAUGAACUAAGAUUGACGUAUACUUUUUGUUGACGUGAGAAAACUGUUUCAGCAAUGGAGACAUAUGUAACCUGUAACUACAAGUUAUCAAAUUUGUCUGAAGAAAAUUAGCAUUUGUAUGUUAAUACACGAUCGUAAGAAGCUUAGAGUGUAUUAUUAGGAUGUUGAUGAUUAAUAUGUGGACGAAACAAAUCAUUUCUUUAAAAAUAAUUUCAACAAUUAUUGUUAAUAUAAAAAAA